Molecule: ribosomal RNA, 468 nt
Filed under: uncultured bacterium
Lineage: Bacteria
Description: partial 16S ribosomal RNA
Rfam family: Bacterial small subunit ribosomal RNA
Source: RNAcentral
GACGAACGCUGGCGGCGUGCUUAACACAUGCAAGUCGAACGGACAGGCCCUGCUUUUGUGGGGUGCUCGAGUGGCGAACGGGUGAGUAACACGUGAGUAACCUGCCCUUGACUUUGGGAUAACUUCAGGAAACUGGGGCUAAUACCGGAUAGGAGCUCCUGCUGCAUGGUGGGGGUUGGAAAGUUUCGGCGGUUGGGGAUGGACUCGCGGCUUAUCAGCUUGUUGGUGGGGUAGUGGCUUACCAAGGCUUUGACGGGUAGCCGGCCUGAGAGGGUGACCGGCCACAUUGGGACUAAGAUACGGCGCAGACUCCUACGGGAGGCAGCAGUGGGGAAUAUUGCACAAUGGGCGGAAGCCUGAUGCAGCAACGCCGCGUGCGGGAUGACGGCCUUCGGGUUGUAAACCGCUUUCGCCUGUGACGAAGCGUGAGUGACGGUAAUGGGUAAAGAAGCACCGGCUAACUACGUG